UUGCUUUGGUAGCACAUAUAGUAUCACUGGAAUGAGACGACUGAGAAGACUAGUAUGGACCCUGCACAAAGAUGACACACAAAUUUGCGACAUGUUCAUAUUUUUA
This is a small nuclear RNA of Diceros bicornis minor, 106 nucleotides long. The record is from RefSeq and is a predicted model, not a curated record. NCBI's taxonomy places the organism in Eukaryota, Metazoa, Chordata, Mammalia, Perissodactyla, Rhinocerotidae.